Molecule: ribosomal RNA, 253 nt
Filed under: uncultured bacterium
Lineage: Bacteria
Description: partial 16S ribosomal RNA
Rfam family: Bacterial small subunit ribosomal RNA
Source: RNAcentral
UACAGAGGUCCCAAGCGUUGUUCGGAUUCACUGGGCGUAAAGGGUGCGUAGGCGGUCGGGUAAGUCUGAUGUGAAAUCUCCAAGCUCAACUUGGAAAUGGCAUCGGAUACUAUUCGGCUCGAGGAAUGGAGGGGAGACUGGAAUACUUGGUGUAGCAGUGAAAUGCGUAGAUAUCGGGAGGAACACCAGUGGCGAAGGCGACUACCUGGCCUGUUCUUGACGCUGAGGCGCGAAAGCUAGGGGAGCAAACGGG